Molecule: long non-coding RNA, 777 nt
Organism: Nicotiana tabacum (common tobacco)
Lineage: Eukaryota; Viridiplantae; Streptophyta; Magnoliopsida; Solanales; Solanaceae
Source: RefSeq, a predicted model, not a curated record
UACCCAAAACCCCAAUCAUUUCCUUCCCCGACUCGGCCAUCCCCUUUCCCCUUCCUCUCUCUGUUCUCUCAACUCACAUAACCAAAUCAAUCACAAACCUUGCACAAAUUCGUGCAAGGUCGUGAAUCAACCAUAAAAUCAUCCCUUCUGCCUCCCCAAGCCGUGAUUCUCUCCAACUCCCUUCCCGUUUCAUCACUUGAAAUUCAAGUUCCUAAAUCUGAAACCCUAGAUUCAAUGAUGCAACAUUAAAUCUCAAGAUUUCUCUUAUGCGCUGUUAAAUCUAUGGCAUGCAUGGCCAUUUCUUUAGUGUUAUCAUCAUUAUUCUUUGUUAUCAUUAUUCUUUAGUGUUAUCAUCAUUAUUCUUUAGUGUUAUCAUCAUUGGGGCUUUUAUCUGGUGGAUUUUGCUUUCAACGGACAGUUUCCCCAUCUCAGAUUUGAGCCAUUUGGAUGGUGAUUUGCAAUGAAAGAUAUUUUUGGAGUAUUGAUUUGGCUUGUUUGAGAUUCAGGUGUUGGAUCCAAUCUAAUUUUGUGAGUGGAGCUAUUCAUUAUGCUUUGGAGACCAAGGUAGAGCUGCUCCCUGAUUGCAGUUCUCUCUUGCUAUGUUAAUGAUUGUUGUUGUUUCAGACAAUAUAUUUGUAUUUCAGACUUGUAUUCGUGUUGUAGAGCUUAUGAUUCGGUAUUACCAGUUCUAGGGAGUUGUAUUAUGAUUUGAUAUUAUCAAUGGCUAUUUGCCUCUCAGACUUAUCUUUUCUGUAAUUCGUUAUCAUGUUUCUUUAA